Molecule: ribosomal RNA, 254 nt
Filed under: uncultured bacterium
Lineage: Bacteria
Description: partial 16S ribosomal RNA
Rfam family: Bacterial small subunit ribosomal RNA
Source: RNAcentral
UACGGGGGGAGCAAGCGUUGUUCGGAUUUACUGGGCGUAAAGGGCGCGUAGGCGGUCGUGACAAGUCACUUGUGAAAUCUCCGGGCUUAACUCGGAACGGUCAAGUGAUACUGUCGGACUAGAGUACAGAAGGGGCAACUGGAAUUCUCGGUGUAGCGGUGAAAUGCGUAGAUAUCGGGAGGAACACCGGUGGCGAAGGCGGUUCUCUGGGCCUUACCUGACGCUGAGGAGCGAAAGCGUGGGGAGCGAACAGG